This 497-nucleotide ribosomal RNA is filed under the name uncultured bacterium. RNAcentral's name for it is "partial 16S ribosomal RNA". It matches the Rfam family "Bacterial small subunit ribosomal RNA", at positions 28 to 507 of the family's 1533-position model. The record is from RNAcentral.
GAUGAACGCUGGCGGCGUGCCUAAUACAUGCAAGUCGAGCGAACAGACGAGGAGCUUGCUCCUCUGACGUUAGCGGCGGACGGGUGAGUAACACGUGGAUAACCUACCUAUAAGACUGGGAUAACUUCGGGAAACCGGAGCCAAUACCGGAUAAUAUAUUGAACCGCAUGGUUCAAUAGUGAAAGACGGUUUUGCUGUCACUUAUAGAUGGAUCCGCGCCGCAUUAGCUAGUUGGUAAGGUAACGGCUUACCAAGGCAACGAUGCGUAGCCGACCUGAGAGGAUGAUCGGCCACACUGGAACUGAGACACGGUCCAGACUCCUACGGGAGGCAGCAGUAGGGAAUCUUCCGCAAUGGGCGAAAGCUUGACGGAGCAACGCCGCGUGAGUGAUGAAGGUCUUCGGAUCGUAAAGCUCUGUUAUUAGGGAAGAACAAAUGUGUAAGUAACUAUGCACGUCUUGACGGUACCUAAUCAGAAAGCCACGGCUAACUACGUG